RNAcentral lists this ribosomal RNA (497 nucleotides) under uncultured bacterium. RNAcentral's name for it is "partial 16S ribosomal RNA". It matches the Rfam family "Bacterial small subunit ribosomal RNA", at positions 28 to 507 of the family's 1533-position model. The record is from RNAcentral.
GAUGAACGCUGGCGGCGUGCCUAAUACAUGCAAGUCGAGCGAACAGACGAGGAGCUUGCUCCUCUGACGUUAGCGGCGGACGGGUGAGUAACACGUGGAUAACCUACCUAUAAGACUGGGAUAACUUCGGGAAACCGGAGCUAAUACCGGAUAACAUGUUGAACCGCAUGGUUCAACAGUGAAAGACGGUUUUGCUGUCACUUAUAGAUGGAUCCGCGUCGCAUUAGCUAGUUGGUAAGGUAACGGCUUACCAAGGCAACGAUGCGUAGCCGACCUGAGAGGGUGAUCGGCCACACUGGAACUGAGACACGGUCCAGACUCCUACGGGAGGCAGCAGUAGGGAAUAUUCCGCAAUGGGCGAAAGCAUGACGGAGCAACGCCGCGUGAGUGAAGAAGGUCUUCGGAUCGUAAAACUCUGUUAUUAGGGAAGAACAAAUGUGUAAGUAACUAUGCACGUCUUGACGGUACCUAAUCAGAAAGCCACGGCUAACUACGUG